UGGGGAAUAUUGGACAAUGGGCGCAAGCCUGAUCCAGCCAUGCCGCGUGAGUGACGAAGGUCUUCGGAUUGUAAAGCUCUUUUGGCGGGGACGAUAAUGACGGUACCCGCAGAAUAAGCCCCGGCUAACUUCGUGCCAGCAGCCGCGGUAAUACGAAGGGGGCUAGCGUUGUUCGGAAUCACUGGGCGUAAAGCGCACGUAGGCGGAUGUGUCAGUCAGGGGUGAAAUCCCGGAGCUCAACUUCGGAACUGCCUCUGAUACAGCACGUCUUGAGUUCGAGAGAGGUGGGUGGAAUUCCUAGUGUAGAGGUGAAAUUCGUAGAUAUUAGGAAGAACACCGGUGGCGAAGGCGGCCCACUGGCUCGAUACUGACGCUGAGGUGCGAAAGCGUGGGGAGCAAACAGGAUUAGAUACCCCUGUAGUCC
This 424-nucleotide ribosomal RNA is filed under the name uncultured bacterium. RNAcentral describes it as "bacterial SSU rRNA". It matches the Rfam family "Bacterial small subunit ribosomal RNA", at positions 355 to 796 of the family's 1533-position model. The record is from RNAcentral.